CUCUCUUUAUCGAAAACAGAGGAUCUCUGCUGUAACGUGACACUUUCUAAGGCUCCCAUAGGCUCUCAGAAGGCGCCAGAACGUUGAAUGAUGACUUUGCAGCCCCUGCCUGAAAAACAGUAGCACAUUUGGAUAGUGGUCGAUCUGAGAACAAUGAGACGGGUGCGCGCGUGCACGUGAAGAGGCCAUUUUACAUUUUCAGUCUUUGAACGAAAAAGACGUUCAAAGACGAGAAAAAUCGCAUAAAAAUAGAUUUUAAACAGCGUUUGACAUGCUUCGAAGUACGGUAAUGGAAUAUUUUGAAAUGUUUUGUCACGAUACGCGUCCGCGCGUCACCGUUCGGAUAGUGUCUUGAACGCAAGAACAAAACAGAGGAUAUUUGAACAUAACUAUGGAUUAUUUUGAACCAAAACAACAUUUGUGGAUGAAGUAGAAGUCCUGGGAGUGCAUUCUGACGAAGAACAGCAAAGGAUGCAGAAGAAAAAGAUACAAUGGGAUGUUUCACCCAACUAGAGCAAAAGCUAAGUGCAGAUCUCUUUACCAGCCACUGGGUGUUAAAAGGGCUAUUGCUAAACAAGACCUGCACACGUCCUUUCCCCUAACCACAAUGAAAUAUUCCUAACAGUACAUGCUGUACUUUAUCAGCUGUUCAGCACUGUGCUGUAAUUAGCUCAUUAAAUCUUCAGGGGCACUCCAAUAGUAGCACACUAAGCCAUACCUCUGGGCUAAAGGGUGUCACUGUGUCGCAGAGAGCUGAGCUGAGCACCGGUGCUUGGCUGCCCUGGAUGCCGGCAGCCCUGCGAUCUAUCAGCCCACCGUUUCCAGUGUUCAGUACCGUGGCAGAGGCAGACACACUGCCCUGAGUGGAAGAAUGAGGACAAAUAACCCUGCUGUACAUAGACUUUCAUCACCAAACAGUGGCAUGCUGCACAGAGUCAGAAAAAGUCAGUACUCCCUGUUCACCCAUGACUGCGUGGCCAUGCACACCUCCAACUCAAUCAUCAAGUUUGCAGACGACACAGAAGUAGUAGGCUUGAUUACCAACAACGACAAGACAG
RNAcentral lists this long non-coding RNA (1058 nucleotides) under Salmo salar (Atlantic salmon). RNAcentral describes it as "lncRNA (ENSSSAG00000120788.1)". Lineage: Eukaryota; Metazoa; Chordata; Actinopteri; Salmoniformes; Salmonidae. The record is from RNAcentral.